Molecule: ribosomal RNA, 472 nt
Filed under: uncultured bacterium
Lineage: Bacteria
Description: bacterial SSU rRNA
Rfam family: Bacterial small subunit ribosomal RNA
Source: RNAcentral
CAAGCGUUGUUCCGGAGUUACUGGGCGUAAAGGGUGUGUAGGCGGUUCUUUAAGUUUGGUGUGACAAUCUCCCGGCUCAACCGGGAGGGUGCGCCGAAUACUGAGGGACUAGAGUGCCGGGAGAGGAAAGUGGAAUUCCUGGUGUAGCGGUGAAAUGCGUAGAUAUCACGGAGGAACACCGGUGGUGUAGACGGCUUUCUGGACCGUAACUGACGCUGAAACCACGAAAGAGUGGGUAGCAAACAGGAUUAGAUACCCUGGUAGUCCACGCCCUAAACGAUGCAUAUUUGGUGUGGGUCAUUCAGUUGAUCCGUGCCGGAGCUAACGCGUUAAAUAUGCCGCCUGGGGAGUACAGUCGCAAGGCUGAAACUCAAAGGAAUUGACGGGGGCCCGCACAAGCGGUGGAGCAUGUGGUUCAAUUCGACGCAACGCGAAGAACCUUACCUGGCUCGAACGGCUUCUCAACGCCGGU